Molecule: long non-coding RNA, 309 nt
Organism: Passer domesticus (house sparrow)
Lineage: Eukaryota; Metazoa; Chordata; Aves; Passeriformes; Passeridae
Exons: 3
Source: RefSeq, a predicted model, not a curated record
GCUGUGAGCUCAAGAUUUGCAUAGCCUGAACAUUCAUUGAAAUGAGAAUUCCUCCCAAGGAGCAUCUCUGGAAAACACAUAAAAAGGGGCAACGCAAAAUUCUGUUUAGAGGUCUCCAAGCUUUCAGAAGCUGCUCUGAAUAGGAGCUGAGAGUGGCCAGAGCAGAGGAAUCUCCUGUCUGCAUGGAGCUGCCAAGUCCUCACCCUUCCUGCUAGCCUGUGACUCUGUCCAUCUGAUUCAGCUAAGAGUAGAAUGGCAAAUAAGGGGAAGUGCUUCCAGACACAAGCUAAUCAGCCAUAUACUCUGAAG